Molecule: long non-coding RNA, 460 nt
Filed under: Salvia miltiorrhiza (redroot sage)
Lineage: Eukaryota; Viridiplantae; Streptophyta; Magnoliopsida; Lamiales; Lamiaceae
Description: long non-coding RNA (SMIL_LNC001219)
Source: RNAcentral
AACUCCUUCAGCAGCCGCGCCGAUUGGAACUCCGGGAGAGGGGCGGCGACUCGAAGAAGGGCUGCGCCGGCUGUGAGAGUCGACGUCGUUGCGUCGAGUGCGGGCGGCGGGGCGGGGCAGUGCGGCGGAGUGGAGGCUGGGAGUUGGAACUUGGAAGAAUGGAAAUUCAAAAUUGGAAGGGACGAGCGGCGGGGGAUGGGAUGAAUGAAAUGAAACCCUACUAACCUAAACUAAGAAAAUAAAAAUUUAAAAAUUAAAAUAAAUGUUUAAUAAAAAUAAUAAUAUUAUUAUCGGGUUACCUGAACCGAACCAGACCCAACCCGAACCCGACCCGAAAUUAUCAGGUCCUUAUCAGGUCGACCCGAUAAGGACCCGAACCUUAUCGUGCGUGUUACUAACCCAUUAAUUUCGUGCGGUUUCGUGUCGGGUUAUCGUGUCGUGUCGAAAAUUGCCAGCCCUA